UACGGAGGGUGCAAGCGUUAUCCGGAUUCACUGGGUUUAAAGGGCGCGUAGGUGGCCUUCUAAGUCGAACGUGAAAUCCCCGGGCUCAACCCGGGAACUGCGUCCGAUACUGGAAGGCUUGAAUCCGGGAGAGGGAUGCGGAAUUCCAGGUGUAGCGGUGAAAUGCGUAGAUAUGCGGAGGAACACCGAUGGCGAAGGCAAUCCCCUGGGCCUGCACUGACGCUCAUGCACGAAAGCGUGGGGAGCAAACAGG
RNAcentral lists this ribosomal RNA (253 nucleotides) under uncultured bacterium. Its description in RNAcentral is "partial 16S ribosomal RNA". It matches the Rfam family "Bacterial small subunit ribosomal RNA", at positions 524 to 776 of the family's 1533-position model. The record is from RNAcentral.